RNAcentral lists this ribosomal RNA (2303 nucleotides) under Campylobacter jejuni. Its description in RNAcentral is "partial 23S ribosomal RNA". It matches the Rfam family "Bacterial large subunit ribosomal RNA", at positions 1 to 2156 of the family's 2925-position model. Lineage: Bacteria; Pseudomonadati; Campylobacterota; Epsilonproteobacteria; Campylobacterales; Campylobacteraceae. The record is from RNAcentral.
AAAAAAGGUAAGCUACUAAGAGCGAAUGGUGGAUGCCUUGACUGGUAAAGGCGAUGAAGGACGUACUAGACUGCGAUAAGCUACGGGGAGCUGUCAAGAAGCUUUGAUCCGUAGAUUUCCGAAUGGGGCAACCCAAUGUAUAGAGAUAUACAUUACCUAUAUAGGAGCGAACGAGGGGAAUUGAAACAUCUUAGUACCCUCAGGAAAAGAAAUCAAUAGAGAUUGCGUCAGUAGCGGCGAGCGAAAGCGCAAGAGGGCAAACCCAGUGCUUGCACUGGGGGUUGUAGGACUGCAAUAUGCAAGAGGUAAGUUUAGCAGAACAUUCUGGAAAGUAUAACCAUAGAGGGUGAUAGUCCCGUAUGCGAAAAACAAACCUUAGCUAGCAGUAUCCUGAGUAGGGCGGGACACGAGGAAUCCUGUCUGAAUCCGGGUCGACCACGAUCCAACCCUAAAUACUAAUACCAGAUCGAUAGUGCACAAGUACCGUGAGGGAAAGGUGAAAAGAACUGAGGUGAUCAGAGUGAAAUAGAACCUGAAACCAUUUGCUUACAAUCAUUCAGAGCCCUAUGUAGCAAUACAGGGUGAUGGACUGCCUUUUGCAUAAUGAGCCUGCGAGUUGUGGUGUCUGGCAAGGUUAAGCAAACGCGAAGCCGUAGCGAAAGCGAGUCUGAAUAGGGCGCUUAGUCAGAUGCUGCAGACCCGAAACGAAGUGAUCUAUCCAUGAGCAAGUUGAAGCUAGUGUAAGAACUAGUGGAGGACUGAACCCAUAGGCGUUGAAAAGCCCCGGGAUGACUUGUGGAUAGGGGUGAAAGGCCAAUCAAACUUCGUGAUAGCUGGUUCUCUCCGAAAUAUAUUUAGGUAUAGCGUUGUGUCGUAAUAUAAGGGGGUAGAGCACUGAAUGGGCUAGGGCAUACACCAAUGUACCAAACCCUAUCAAACUCCGAAUACCUUAUAUGUAAUCACAGCAGUCAGGCGGCGAGUGAUAAAAUCCGUCGUCAAGAGGGAAACAACCCAGACUACCAGCUAAGGUCCCUAAGUCUUACUUAAGUGGAAAACGAUGUGAAGUUACUUAAACAACCAGGAGGUUGGCUUAGAAGCAGCCAUCCUUUAAAGAAAGCGUAAUAGCUCACUGGUCUAGUGAUUUUGCGCGGAAAAUAUAACGGGGCUAAAGUAAGUACCGAAGCUGUAGACUUGCGCACAACUUAGAUUAUUUAAGUUUAGAAUAUGAGAAACUAAGUUAUGUUUAGUUAUAUUUUUACUGAUUUUUAUAGAGUAAAGAUAGAAAUAAAACUUAGUAAAAUCAGUAAAAAUAUUCUUAGGCUAAAGUUAAGUAGUUUAAGUUGUGUGCAAGUGGUAGGAGAGCGUUCUAUUUGCGUCGAAGGUAUACCGGUAAGGAGUGCUGGAGCGAAUAGAAGUGAGCAUGCAGGCAUGAGUAGCGAUAAUUAAUGUGAGAAUCAUUAACGCCGUAAACCCAAGGUUUCCUACGCGAUGCUCGUCAUCGUAGGGUUAGUCGGGUCCUAAGUCGAGUCCGAAAGGGGUAGACGAUGGCAAAUUGGUUAAUAUUCCAAUACCAACAUUAGUGUGCGAUGGAAGGACGCUUAGGGCUAAGGGGGCUAGCGGAUGGAAGUGCUAGUCUAAGGUCGUAGGAGGUUAUACAGGCAAAUCCGUAUAACAAUACUCCGAGAACUGAAAGGCUUUUUGAAGUCUUCGGAUGGAUAGAAGAACCCCUGAUGCCGUCGAGCCAAGAAAAGUUUCUAAGUUUAGCUAAUGUUGCCCGUACCGUAAACCGACACAGGUGGGUGGGAUGAGUAUUCUAAGGCGCGUGGAAGAACUCUCUUUAAGGAACUCUGCAAAAUAGCACCGUAUCUUCGGUAUAAGGUGUGGUUAGCUUUGUAUUAGGAUUUACUCCGAAAGCAAGGAAACUUACAACAAAGAGUCCCUCCCGACUGUUUACCAAAAACACAGCACUCUGCUAACUCGUAAGAGGAUGUAUAGGGUGUGACGCCUGCCCGGUGCUCGAAGGUUAAUUGAUGGGGUUAGCAUUAGCGAAGCUCUUGAUCGAAGCCCGAGUAAACGGCGGCCGUAACUAUAACGGUCCUAAGGUAGCGAAAUUCCUUGUCGGUUAAAUACCGACCUGCAUGAAUGGCGUAACGAGAUGGGAGCUGUCUCAAAGAGGGAUCCAGUGAAAUUGUAGUGGAGGUGAAAAUUCCUCCUACCCGCGGCAAGACGGAAAGACCCCGUGGACCUUUACUACAGCUUGACACUGCUACUUGGAUAAGAAUGUGCAGGAUAGGUGGGAGGCU